This 297-nucleotide long non-coding RNA is filed under the name Theobroma cacao (cacao). Its description in RNAcentral is "long non-coding RNA (TCAC_LNC001413)". The record is from RNAcentral. Lineage: Eukaryota; Viridiplantae; Streptophyta; Magnoliopsida; Malvales; Malvaceae.
UAAACUUUUCCUCUCUUUUCUUUCACUCCCCCCUCGCAAACGAUCGGCAAAUCAUGUCCUUUUGCCGAACCACCAAAGAUUGCCCCCCAAACCACCUCUAAAUCUCCCCAAAAGCCGCAACUUUUUUCUCACCCUCUCCCCAGCGAACUGUAAGUCCUUCCUCUUUGCCGACCCACUGAAGAUCGCAUCCUAAACAAACUCUAAAUCUUCCCAAACUGCUACAACUUUACCUUACCCUUUCGUCGGUGAUCUGCAAAUGGCCCCCCCAAAAACCUCUAAAUCUCUCCAAAAGUCGAG